CCCAGCCCUGGAGUGCGCGGUGGCCUCUCCGCAGCCCAGCUCCAGGGCUCUCAGAAUUGGGGAAGCCCCAGGCCCGGUGCGAGCUUCGAAAACCGACGGCGCCUAGCGGGACUUGCCGGGGCCCUGACCUAGGCGGACGGGGCACGAGUUCCACCCCGCUCUACCAAGGACCUACAAGUGACGGCAGGUGUGAGGGCCAGAGAGCUUCGAGCAUUUGAAGGUUUGACUCCGGGCUCAGCCACCCACUUUGCUCCUGUGGCGCGCGCUGUCUUCAGUCGCCAGUGCGGUGCCCUGAACUGGAGAGGGAAAGAAGAUGAUGUUCCAGUCCCAGCGUUUUAUUCACCGGCUGCCUGACCCUAGACGCUUCUUCCUCUGGAACUCAGUUUACUCAUCCGAAAAAUAGGGAUAGUAAUGGAUUGGAGGAGAACAGGAAGCUUUUGUCACCCAAACUCUCUAUAAAAAUAAAUGAU
Long non-coding RNA from Leptonychotes weddellii (Weddell seal), 470 nucleotides. RefSeq lists it as uncharacterized. The record is from RefSeq and is a predicted model, not a curated record. Lineage: Eukaryota; Metazoa; Chordata; Mammalia; Carnivora; Phocidae.